RNAcentral lists this ribosomal RNA (256 nucleotides) under uncultured bacterium. RNAcentral's name for it is "partial 16S ribosomal RNA". It matches the Rfam family "Bacterial small subunit ribosomal RNA", at positions 521 to 776 of the family's 1533-position model. The record is from RNAcentral.
UAAUACGUAGGUGGCAAGCGUUGUCCGGAUUUAUUGGGUUUAAAGGGUGCGUAGGUGGUUUAAUAAGUCAGUGGUGAAAGCUGGUUGCUCAACAAUCAAGUUGCCAUUGAUACUGUUAGACUUGAGAGAAGUGGAGGCUGGUGGAAUGGAUGGUGUAGCGGUGAAAUGCAUAGAUAUCAUCCAGAACGUCAAUUGCGAAGGCAGCUGGCUGUACUUUUUCUGACACUGAGGCACGAAAGUGUGGGGAUCAAACAGG